GAAACGACUGCUAAGACUGGAUAGGAGAUAAGAAGGCAUCUUUUUAUUUUUAAAAGACCUAGCAAUAGGUAUGCUUAGGGAAGAGCUUGCGUCACAUUGGUUAGUUGGUGGGGUAAUGGCCUACCAAGACGAUGAUGUGUAGCCGGGCUGAGAGGUCGAACGGCCACAUUGGGACUGAGACACGGCCCAAACUCCUACGGGAGGCAGCAGUAAGGAAUUUUCGGCAAUGGAGGAAACUCUGACCGAGCAAUGCCGCGUGAACGAUGAAGUAUUUCGGUACGUAAAGUUCUUUUAUUAGGGAAGAAAAGAUGGUGGAAAAACCAUUAUGACGGUACCUAAUGAAUAAGCCCCGGCUAACUAUGUGCCAGCAGCCGCGGUAAUACAUAGGGGGCAAGCGUUAUCCGGAAUUAUUGGGCGUAAAGGGUGCGUAGGCGGUUAAAUAAGUUUAUGGUCUAAGUGCAACGCUCAACGUUGUGAUGCUAUAAAAACUGUUUAGCUAGAGUUGGAUAGAGGCAAGUGGAAUUCCGUGUGUAGUGGUAAAAUGCGUAAAUAUACGGAGGGACACCAGAAGCGAAGGCGGCUUGCUGGGUCUUAACUGACGCUGAGGCACGAAAGCGUGGGGAGCAAACAGGAUUAGAUACCCUGGUAGUCCACGCCCUAAACGAUGAGUACUAAACGUUGGAUAAAACCAGUGUUGAAGUUAACACAUUAAGUACUCCGCCUGAGUAGUACGUACGCAAGUAUGAAACUUAAAGGAAUUGACGGGACUCCGCACAAGCGGUGGAUCAUGUUGUUUAAUUCGAAGGUACCCGAAAAACCUCACCAGGUCUUGACAUGCUUUUGCAAAGCUGUAGAAAUACAGUGGAGGUUAUCAGAAGCACAGGUGGUGCAUGGUUGUCGUCAGCUCGUGUCGUGAGAUGUUGGGUUAAGUCCCGCAACGAGCGCAACCCUUGUUGUUAAUUGCCAUCAUUAAGUUGGGGACUUUAGCAAGACUGCCAAUGAUAAAUUGGAGGAAGGUGGGGACGACGUCAAAUCAUCAUGCCCCUUAUGACCUGGGCUACAAACGUGAUACAAUGGCUGUUACAAAGGGUAGCUAAAGCGUAAGCUUCUGGCGAAUCUCAAAAAAGCAGUCUCAGUUCGGAUUGAAGUCUGCAACUCGACUUCAUGAAGUUGGAAUCGCUAGUAAUCGCGAAUCAGCAUGUCGCGGUGAAUACGUUCUCGGGGUUUGUACACACCGCCCGUCA
RNAcentral lists this ribosomal RNA (1244 nucleotides) under Phytoplasma sp. BN-Ma192. RNAcentral's name for it is "bacterial SSU rRNA". It matches the Rfam family "Bacterial small subunit ribosomal RNA", at positions 153 to 1399 of the family's 1533-position model. Lineage: Bacteria; Bacillati; Mycoplasmatota; Mollicutes; Acholeplasmatales; Acholeplasmataceae. The record is from RNAcentral.